This 1106-nucleotide long non-coding RNA is filed under the name Mus spicilegus (steppe mouse). RNAcentral describes it as "lncRNA (ENSMSIG00000005742.1)". Lineage: Eukaryota; Metazoa; Chordata; Mammalia; Rodentia; Muridae. The record is from RNAcentral.
AUGUGGGUGACAACAUUCCACAGUCUAAGGUCCUGGACUGAAAAGAAGGGAGUCAAGGGUGAGGGCCAGCAUCCUUACCUGCAGAUGCGGCAUGGCCAAUCCCUCCUAGCUGCCAGGGCCACAGCUUUGUCCCUUUGUGCCCUUGAAUCAGGAGCCAAAACACAGCUUUCAUUGAGUUACUUUGAUCAAGUAUUUUAUCACAAGCAAAGUAAUUCAUGCCUAAUCCUUCACUUCACAGCAGUGAAUCCUGUAAGCUUCAUCUCUGCUAGGAAAGCCAACUCCUGCUUUUGUUUGAAACUUGGUAUGAAAGCCAUAUUGGAUGUGGAAUUGGACGAAUCACAAUAUGUUUAAGUGUAUCCUCAAGAGAUGACACUACUCAGCCCUGUAGUGGUCCCUGACAAUCCUGUGGCCAGUGACUUCUUGAAGGCACAGAGCUAGGAACAGAGGAUGUGCUUCAAGUCUGGCCACAGCUUUCUCUUGUGCUGCCGAUGCUCUGUGGGAUGACAUCUGGCUCAGGAUCAGAUCAGCCCGGUCCACUGUCCAUACUGGAAGGAACAUUGACAUCCAAGGAUGCCUCUGCAGUUGCAUUAGGAGCCAACGGUCUCAGCACCUAGUCAUAGCCAGUAUCUUCCCUUCAUGAAGGUAUUUGCAACUUUGCUGCUCAUUCCUGGCAGCCUGGAAGUCCUUGUUGCUGCUCAACCCUGUUGGCUUUCUUUCCCCCCCUAGGGGAGCUUAGUGUCAUAUGUAAACAUAGACAGGUCCCUGGGGUCUCUCUGGAUAAGCACUGGAAAGAAGCUCAAUCCGCCAGGCUAGCUGCAGUACCAGCUGGGACAGUUCCCCAUCCAAAGACCAAGGCCUGUCUGUGUGCACAGCAGGAUGGGGUCUGGGACUGUGGUUCCAGAGACCUGACUUCAGGAGUGGAAACCUGCAUGCUGACUCCUGCCUGCAGGCACUGACAGACACACAUGGUCCACUUUGUGCAUAUCACCUUGAUUGUUUUUCAUGUCCAUCAUAGAAAAGAGUGAUUAAAAAUGAAAGAAAGGAGAAACUGGGAGGGAGAGGAUGCACGACUAAGCACGAUUUGCCCCUUCCACGCCUGGUGGUGC